UCCUUGGUUAGGUAUAUUCCUAAGUAUUUUAUUUUACUUUUUGCUGCUGUUGCAAAAGAGAUUGAGUUCUUGGUUUGUUUAUCAGCUUGGUUGUUGGUAUAUAGCAGUGUUACUGAUUUGUGUACAUUGAUUUUGUAACCUGUGACUCUACAGAACUAAUUGAUCAAAUCUAGGAGUCUUUUGGAGGAGUCUUUAGGAUCUUCUAUGUAUAUGAUUAUAUCAUUAACAAACAGUGACUGUCUGACUUCCUGUUUUCCAAUUUGAAUGCCUUUUAUUUCUUUCUCUUGCCUAAUCGCUAUGGCUAGGACUUCCAGAACUAAGCUGAAUAGGAAGUGGUGAAAGUCGGCAUCCUUGUCCUGUUUCUGUUCGCAGGAGGAAGGCUUUAAACUUUUCCCCAUUCAGUAUGAUGUUGGCUUUGUUGUAAAUGGCUUUUAUUAUGUUGAGGAAUGUCCCUUGUAUGCUGAUUAUACUGAGAGUUUUAGUCAUAAGGGAUUCUGGAUUUUGUCGAAUGCUUUUUCUGCAUCUAUUG
Long non-coding RNA from Sapajus apella (tufted capuchin), 529 nucleotides. RefSeq lists it as uncharacterized. The transcript is spliced from 3 exons. Lineage: Eukaryota; Metazoa; Chordata; Mammalia; Primates; Cebidae. The record is from RefSeq and is a predicted model, not a curated record.